RNAcentral lists this ribosomal RNA (4499 nucleotides) under Triticum aestivum (bread wheat). RNAcentral describes it as "partial small subunit ribosomal RNA". The record is from RNAcentral. Lineage: Eukaryota; Viridiplantae; Streptophyta; Magnoliopsida; Poales; Poaceae.
UACUGUAUAGUGUUUAAGGUAAUUAGUUUAAUAAUGUGGUGGCUUACUAGGUUGUAAUUAGUUUAAUGUUACAAAAAUCUAGAUUUCUUCUUUGUACAGGAACAAAUUACCAGGUUGUCUAUUAUAUCUACUUUUAAAAUCGUGGUUACAGACAGAAGUUUGAUAUCUAUACGAUUUUCAUUUCGAACCACACUGUAUGUUUAUAUCGUUAAUAGUUUCAAACUGCUAAAAUAUUCCUGCCUGUUUAAACUGGGACAAGACUAUGAGGUUUUCAUGGCAAUCACGUUGACUAAUCACUUACAUAUGGAGCUAGUAAAGAGCCUUUGGAGGACUGUGUUCUUUGUAUAACGAAAACUAUUUGUACACCUACUUGGUUCUUGAUCCGGGCGAGCUUGAGCAACUGCGUUUCGUAGUUUGUCGAGCACCCGUACACGGCGCGCCACGUUUCUCACCGUUUGUGGCUGCGGCCUGAUUUUAAUUCGAGGUUCGUUCCCCCCGUGCUUCUUUAAGUAUGUCUGUUGUCCGUUGUUGUAACUCCGCACGGAUACUAAAGAAGAGACGGCUCUGGCCGAACGACUCACGGACGAUGGCACCGGCUGCAGGCGCGGGAGGAGUGCGACUCGGCGCGCGCGCCGGCGAGCGGAGCGGGACGAGCUACGCCCGGCGCUGCCACUGCCUUCCUGCCGCGUUGCGUAGUGGAGGCCGUCGCCUCCCGCCCGUUCCCGCCGCUAGGCGCGCCUCUCCUCCUCCGCGCCGGCAGGCCCCGGCCCCUACCUGCGCCGGCUCCGCACUCCGCGGCCGCCCUGCCGCCCCUGCCGCCGCCCGCCGGCCUAGGCGCGCCGCCGCCGCCGCCGCGCCUCCAACCCCUCCUACUUUGAAGGGAGAGCGCGCAGCAACGAUCCUAACGUUCAACUGGGGACAAAAGGAGGGUUUGGGGGUGAAGAUGUCUUCGACUGUACAUCCGGCGAGUGCUGAUGCCCAGGUAGCUUAGUCACUGCCUUGGCCGGGUGCGGGUGUCCGAGGCAAUUUUUGACUGGUUUGGGAGAGGGGUGAAGCUUGUUAGAGGAGGCUCGAGCGUUUAGGCGGCGGCGGCGGUACCCGCUGAUGCCCUUGCGCUACUACGCCUUGGUCCUGCGCCCGCACGUCAGGGCGCACUUCCGCGUCUCGGCGCGGUUGGAGGAGGUCGAGUUCGAGUAGCCCGUCUCGGUAGGCUGCCCCGACUGCUGCUUGGACGACUUCGACAAGCUCGGUGCCGGUGGCGAGCUCGUGUUCGGCGGCGAGCUCUUCGCGUUCAACGGCCGAAUGAGACCUUACAGCGUCAAACAUAGCUCCAAGCGUCUCGGACCACUGGGGCUCAUACGAGGCGGACAGGGGUGUACGCUCUGAUCCCGACUUUUCUUCCUAUCUUAGGCAGUUGAAUUCGAACUCCUUCCACGUCGAUUCCAACGACUUCUCGAGGUCUUCAUACUGGGUGUUUUACUGGGGUUACAGUGACCUCUAGGUAUGUUUUGUGAGAAACAACGUGCUGAACCGAUGCUCUGUAGGCUCGUCUUCCAAUUUUCCCUGAAACUUCGAAUACCCGGAUAAUUUUCCCAUUCACAUGUACCAUUUAUGGUCAUGUCCACUACAAUAAGGAGUAACCAUUCCAAAAGUCAAUAAGACCAACGAUUUGAUAGCACGCACUUUAGACCCCUUUUAAACGAAACGACGGAAUAUAUCGGAGGACCGUCGACGACAGUGUUUCACGAUGAACCCUUACUCCAGUAAGACGUACAAGAGAACAACGAAGGUGGUUCAACCCUUGGAAAGUAUGGUUCUAUCUUUCUUGGAGGCUGUGUGUUUCGUACACAAGAAACUUUGAAAAAGGUUUCUUGCAACUUUUGGAUAGAAAGGUACAAGAUAAAGGAAGGAGAAAGAACAAGAAUCGUUCAAAUCAUUACGCUCGGCUGUAAUAUAAAAGAGAAACGACGCAUAAGCACAUGCAAAAAAACCCAUUAUAUAAGCUAUCCGUAGAAAGUUAAACCCCCAGUACUGUGGUAAAGAGGGACAUUCGGUAUCUACAGGUAUACCUUUAGCUACGUAAAGAACCAUCUAUUAAUUUGUCUCAAGUCUGCUCCGUCGUUAGUCAAACCAUAUGACAUACUUAGGAACCGUUCGGUAAAUUAGACACGUGACAACCAUCUUGUAAACUUCUGACAUUUAAAGAGACCAUUUUCUUUACACGUACGUUUCCAUUAAAACUACGAACUAAAGAACUCUUUUUAGCACUCCUUGUCUCGUUUGUUAAACGAAAACGGUACCGUGGUGUUCCAUCACAACGAAAGUACUAACCAAGAAAGGACGGGGUGUUUUAGAGGGUAUAACUAAUUGACCUCGACUGUUUCGUACUUCUUAAGAAUAUUACCGUCUUCACAUCUAGUGAAAACAGAAUUUCUCGUCGAAUAGACGUCCGCUAAAGAUGCGGGACUCUGGAUUAACCCAUCCAGGUGACCACUCAUCAUAAACAUCAAUGAAAGGUACUCGACAAUACCAUGAUCGCGACGACGGUUCAAGACGAAGAGUACCUCCUUUGUUGUGUUUGCAUAUUACGCAUACCAUAGAGAGUUGAGGAUCUCAACUUCUCAGAUGAGGUAAAGGUACACACAUUCCUUAUGAAUGGAUGGGACGUGAUAAUAGUGGAACUAAGUACAUUAACGAAACCGAUAAAACAAAAGAAGCGGUGUUUCCAACUUGUUUAAUAUUCGUUGUUGCCACUCCCAUUGAACCAUAUCAUAAAUCAGAGACGUCAUGUAAAAAAGGGAAAUAAUUCGUUCAAGGGACCAUUCCCCCACACCCUACAUAAAAGGUUGUACACGCUUAGCCGCUCUGAAGUACAAGUACACACGACCUAAAGUUAGGAAUACGCCUUCGAGAUGUAUACGUUCCAUGCCGAGCAUUGGCUGUUCCAUUGUUUAUUUGGAUCUCCUAUACGUAAGCAUCUCAUACGUGUGUGAGCCCUGUACUUUUCACGAAUAUUCGUUCGACUACCCUCUUUUCACCUAUUGUUUUCCCACGAACAACUGCAUCUCGCACCAUCUUGACAAGGUUUAACCGCAGGAUCCUCUAACCCACCACCUGAACCUAGUUCGUCCUAACCACCACUUCUACGACGGGUCUUCGUAAGACGAUCUCUCGUUGUCUUGCGACGACCCGCUGGGUCUAGUCUUCUCGGAUCCUCCCUACUAGCAGGACGUCUAGCCCUAGCACUCUUUAGAGCACUAUCCCAUGCCCUUUCUCUAGCACUGCUCUUUUGAGCACUUGCGAGUGUACUGUCCUGGGCACUAGCACUAGGUUCCCUUCUAUCCGUGGUGGUAUCUCUAGCACUCUCUUGAGCACUAUCCCUGGCUCUUGCCCUGGUCCUCUCUCUGGCACCCGCACUGGCCGCACUAUCCCUAUCCGUGUUCCUAGUACCGGCCCUAUCUCUGGUCCUAUCUCUGUCCUUUGCACUCGCGAGAGUACCGUCCCCGUCUCUGGCACUGUCUCUAAUGCUCGCACGUUCAGUGCUUGUCCUGGGAGCGUCCCUGGCUCUAAUGUUCGCACGCGCGGUACUUGUACUAGCACCAGUGAACGUCCUCUCACUACGACUAAUACCAUUACCACUCGAACCGAUAUUGGUCGUACUCGUGGUGUCUUCAGUGCUUGUCAUACCAAUACCGGAUCUACCUGUACUCGCGAGUUUCGCUGUACUCGUAAUGGCCCUACUAGGUGUGUCAUUUUACCGUUGGUUGGUAGUCCCCGUUGGACUUUUACGUCUUGGACGUCAGGGGCUCCUUCCCCUCCGUAUACUUCUUCCCCUGAUGGUCGUAUAGGUUCGCUCACUUAUGUCCUUGAUUUUGAACUAUCGACACCAUUCCGAAACAAUUGCGUCAUUAUAAGCGUAGUAAAGUCGACAAGGGUCACCAAGAGAGCGGAAAAAGAACAACCGUGAAGGUCAGAAUAGGGUGAAUAAAAACCACACAAACAAACAACAUACGAUAAACAUUAUUAAACGACCUAUUACGAACACCAAACACAAGUGAACAAUCACUACAAGAUACAUUAAAACUUCGGUUAGCGGUUAGUUACAAUUGAACAAUGAGCAGAUUACGCCGAAUUCAAAUACGUAAAAACAACCAAAGCUGUCAAUGACAUCUACGUUCGUAUUGUACCCGCACCAACGACCAAUAUUUCACCUGACACCUAGUUCAAUGAGUAAAGAAAAUGAAACAAAGAACAAAGGAACAUUUACUAAAACAACUAGUAGACUCCUUAAAUCAAAAACGACAACUUUUUUUCGAAUCCCCGAAAAUGAUAUGAUUUACAAGAAAAAAACAACAACAACGCAGAAACGUCAAACGAAGACAUUUGUAACAUUUAUUAGAGUCCGGAGACUCUUCAGUCUCCGGAACUUUACCGUUUGCCUCGAAUCUCGUAGACAUUGAGGAAAACUUAGCCUAUAACAUAUCCGAUUCGUCACAUCG